CUCGGACGGACCUGAGACCGCCAGAUUCAAAAUUUGAGCUUUUCCCUCUUCACUCGCAGUUACUAGGGGAAUCCUUGUUAGUUUCUUUUCCUCCGCUUAUUGAUAUGCUUAAGUUCAGCGGGUAGUCCUACCUGAUUUGAGGUCAAAAGUCAGAUNAGGAAGACCCUGUUCUCUCCGGAGAGAUAAUAAGCGGUCGACGUAUUAGAGGCRCGGRACSUUCAGUCAUGCGCUUCAGCGAACGGCGAUCAUUAUCACGCCGAAAGCCUUGUCGCACAUAGUCGAAAGUCGACCGCAAGCCGAUGCAUUUCAGAAGAGCCCGAGUCUCGGACGAAUCCRAGUUUCCGGCAACCUCCACUAUCCAAGCACCCUCUCAAAGCUAAUCGAGAGGGGUUGAGAAUUUACUGACACUCAAACAGGCAUGCUCCUCGGAACACCGAGGAGCGCAAGGUGCGUUCAAAGAUUCGAUGAUUCACUGUAGAUCUGCAAUUCACAUUACAUAUCGCUUUUCGCUGCGUUCUUCAUCGAUGCGAGAGCCAAGAGAUCCGUUGCUGAAAGUUGUAAUAACUUUUAUCUCAAAGAAUCGCGUCUCCUAGAAGUCGCGACUCGAUGAUAGUAAACAUUCAAGACUUUCUACACGA
Molecule: unclassified non-coding RNA, 638 nt
Filed under: uncultured Rhizopogon
Lineage: Eukaryota; Fungi; Basidiomycota; Agaricomycetes; Boletales; Rhizopogonaceae
Description: sequence contains ITS1, 5.8S rRNA gene and ITS2
Source: RNAcentral